GACGAACGCUGGCGGCGUGCCUAAUACAUGCAAGUAGAACGUUGAAGGGAGAGCUUGCUCUUCUGGAUGAGCUGCGAACGGGUGAGUAACGCGUAGGUAACCUGCCUGGUAGCGGGGGAUAACUAUUGGAAACGAUAGCUAAUACCGCAUAACAGCAAAUGUUGCAUGACAUUUGCUUAAAAGGUGCAAUUGCAUCACUACCAGAUGGACCUGCGUUGUAUUAGCUAGUUGGUGGGGUAACGGCUCACCAAGGCGACGAUACAUAGCCGACCUGAGAGGGUGAUCGGCCACACUGGGACUGAGACACGGCCCAGACUCCUACGGGAGGCAGCAGUAGGGAAUCUUCGGCAAUGGACGGAAGUCUGACCGAGCAACGCCGCGUGAGUGAAGAAGGUUUUCGGAUCGUAAAGCUCUGUUGUAAGAGAAGAACAAGCGUGAGAGUGGAAAGUUCACACUGUGACAGUAUCUUACCAGAAAGGGACGGCUAACUACGUGCCAGCAGCCGCGGUAAUACGUAGGUCCCGAGCGUUGUCCGGAUUUAUUGGGCGUAAAGCGAGCGCAGGCGGUUAGAUAAGUCUGAAGUUAAAGGCUGUGGCUUAACCAUAGUACGCUUUGGAAACUGUUUAACUUGAGUGCAAGAGGGGAGAGUGGAAUUCCAUGUGUAGCGGUGAAAUGCGUAGAUAUAUGGAGGAACACCGGCGGCGAAAGCGGCUCUCUGGCUUGUAACUGACGCUGAGGCUCGAAAGCGUGGGGAGCAAACAGG
RNAcentral lists this ribosomal RNA (763 nucleotides) under uncultured Streptococcus sp. Its description in RNAcentral is "bacterial SSU rRNA". It matches the Rfam family "Bacterial small subunit ribosomal RNA", at positions 28 to 776 of the family's 1533-position model. The record is from RNAcentral. Lineage: Bacteria; Bacillati; Bacillota; Bacilli; Lactobacillales; Streptococcaceae.